Cyprinus carpio carpio is the source of this 333-nucleotide long non-coding RNA. The record is from Ensembl. Lineage: Eukaryota; Metazoa; Chordata; Actinopteri; Cypriniformes; Cyprinidae.
GUGUGUGUGAGACUGUGUGUGUCACUGAAGUGUGUUUGAUGAGGUGUGUGUGUGUGUGUGUGUGUGUGUGUCGUUGCAGUCAAUACGAACAUCAACCUCUCGUCUGUUGUUCUUGGUUGUGUUCAUCAUCCGGCAGGCUUUCUCUGCGCUCUCAGGAGAGUCGAAGCACACCCUGCCGCAGCCUUUGGAUUUGCCGUUCUCCCUCUUUAUCUCAGCGUACAUCCCCUGACCUGAAGAACACAGCUGCUGCUCUUGAUUCUAUUAAUGUGCUGCAUAUCAGAAAUGAGAGUUAACACACGUACCACAGUGACUGAACUUCUGCUUGAGCUUCUG